RNAcentral lists this ribosomal RNA (255 nucleotides) under uncultured bacterium. RNAcentral's name for it is "partial 16S ribosomal RNA". It matches the Rfam family "Bacterial small subunit ribosomal RNA", at positions 524 to 776 of the family's 1533-position model. The record is from RNAcentral.
UACGUAGGGCGCGAGCGUUUGUCCGGAAUUAUUGGGCGUAAAGAGCUCGUAGGCGGCCUGUUGCGUCCGCUGUGAAAUCCCAGGGCUCAACCCUGGGCGUGCAGUGGAUACGGGCAGGCUGGAGGCAGGCAGGGGGAGAACGGAAUUCCCGGUGUAGCGGUGAAAUGCGCAGAUAUCGGGAGGAACACCGGUGGCGAAGGCGGGUCUCUGGGCCAUUACUGACGCUGAGGAGCGAAAGCGUGGGGAGCGAACAGG